GACGAACGCUGGCGGCGUGCCUAAUACAUGCAAGUCGUGCGGACCUUUUAAAAGCUUGCUUUUAAAAGGUUAGCGGCGGACGGGUGAGUAACACGUGGGCAACCUGCCUGUAAGACUGGGAUAACGCCGGGAAACCGGGGCUAAUACCAGAUCGUUUUUUCCUCCGCAUGGAGGAAAAAGGAAAGGCGGCUUCGGCUGCCACUUACAGAUGGGCCCGCGGCGCAUUAGCUAGUUGGCGGGGUAACGGCCCACCAAGGCAACGAUGCGUAGCCGACCUGAGAUGGUGAUCGGCCACAGUGGGACUGAGACACGGCCCAAACUCCUACGGGAGGCAGCAGUAGGGAAUCUUCCGCAAUGGACGAAAGUCUGACGGAGCAACGCCGCGUGAGGGAAGAAGGCCUUCGGGUCGUAAAACUCUGUUGCCGGGGAAGAACAAGUGCCGUUCGAACAGGGCGGCGCCUUGACGGUACCCGGCCAGAAAGCCACGGCUAACUACGUG
Molecule: ribosomal RNA, 499 nt
Filed under: uncultured bacterium
Lineage: Bacteria
Description: partial 16S ribosomal RNA
Rfam family: Bacterial small subunit ribosomal RNA
Source: RNAcentral